CGGCCCUUCACUAGGUAGACUUGAUGAAAUUAACAAGCUGCCUGAUGAAGAGCUGUCC
RNAcentral lists this microRNA precursor (58 nucleotides) under Magallana gigas (Pacific oyster). Its description in RNAcentral is "Mgi-Mir-22-P1_pre stem-loop". The record is from RNAcentral. Lineage: Eukaryota; Metazoa; Mollusca; Bivalvia; Ostreida; Ostreidae.